This is a long non-coding RNA of Culex quinquefasciatus (southern house mosquito), 840 nucleotides long. RefSeq lists it as uncharacterized. Lineage: Eukaryota; Metazoa; Arthropoda; Insecta; Diptera; Culicidae. The transcript has 4 exons. The record is from RefSeq and is a predicted model, not a curated record.
ACGUUCCGUGUGUCCGCCAUCGGCCCCUGUGCGCCCUCCUCAAGCGUCACAACGACGGCUCCGCGGGCAAACAAAACCCGCACCAGCAAGAGCCUCAGGCCCAACGCAACCCGGGCGCGACACGAAGAGGACAGAGGUGCAGAAAAGGCGGCACGGCGGCUGCGAAAAGGGUAAGGCGACGAACCAAAAGUCCCGCGUGGGAAACGGAACCGCACCGCACACGAGACGGUGACGCAUCUGCCUGGACGAAGGCUGACUCAAAGCGGACAACACCAUCCCGCGCUUGAAGCGCGGUCAAGCCAGGAAGAGCGACAUCAACGAACCGCGAAAAUUGGUGCCGAUACGAUCUCGAGAACGCCGAUCUGGAACGGCGUGGGUACAACUAGCAGCAGGAACAAGAACGCACAGCGGAACCGGCCUAAGCACCUCCACCUCCACCACCCGCAACCGAAGCGGACGGCCACGGUUAGAUUGACCGCCACGAAGACCCUCCAGGAGAGGUAAGAGGAAGAAGAAGGUGGAGCUUGACACGGGAUACUAAUGGAGAUGCUUUUAGGGUCUUUUGGUGGAGACUUGAGCUCGGCUGGACAUCGAGGCGGACCGGUGCUGAAGAAGUUACGGGCGGAGCAGGCCGAAUCGAACGGCCGUGGUGCAGGACAAGAGCACACGUUUGUGCGAAUCGCGUGAGAGCGCGGGGACGCGGAUCGUUCGGCGCUUCCGCGUCGUGGGCCGUCAGGAAGGAUCGAGUCGUGGCUGACUUCGGGGUGACUGCUGAGGGCGAACGCGGCGGCAUGCAGCGACAGUGAGAAGGAGAGGCGCCAGCGCGCAAGUACCGCUAGA